GGGUUGUGAGGUUAAGCGACCAAGCGUACACGGUGGAUGCCCUGGCAGUCAGAGGCGAUGAAGGACGUGCUAAUCUGCGAAAAGCGCCGGUAAGGUGAUAUGAACCGUUAUAACCGGCGAUGUCCGAAUGGGGAAACCCAGUGUGACUCGUCACACUAUCAUUAACUGAAUCCAUAGGUUAAUGAGGCGAACCGGGGGAACUGAAACAUCUAAGUACCCCGAGGAAAAGAAAUCAACCGAGAUUCCCCCAGUAGCGGCGAGCGAACGGGGAGGAGCCCAGAGCCUGAAUCAGCAUGUGUGUUAGUGGAAGCGUCUGGAAAGGCGCGCGAUACAGGGUGACAGCCCCGUACACAAAAGCGCAUGUGCUGUGAGCUUGAUGAGUAGGGCGGGACACGUGGUAUCCUGUCUGAAUAUGGGGGGACCAUCCUCCAAGGCUAAAUACUCCUGACUGACCGAUAGUGAACCAGUACCGUGAGGGAAAGGCGAAAAGAACCCCGGCGAGGGGAGUGAAACAGAACCUGAAACCGUGUACGUACAAGCAGUGGGAGCCCCACCACUAAGCCAGUGGUGAACUCCACAUACGCAUCCUUUGCGGAAGAUGCGGUUAACGGAGCGAAAGCGACGUUCAACCUAAAAAGAAGCAGAGGGGGCUUAGUGGUGGGGUGACUGCGUACCUUUUGUAUAAUGGGUCAGCGACUUAUAUUCUGUAGCAAGGUUAACCG
Molecule: ribosomal RNA, 722 nt
Filed under: Salmonella enterica subsp. arizonae serovar 53:z4,z23,z32:-
Lineage: Bacteria; Pseudomonadati; Pseudomonadota; Gammaproteobacteria; Enterobacterales; Enterobacteriaceae
Description: partial 23S ribosomal RNA
Rfam family: Bacterial large subunit ribosomal RNA
Source: RNAcentral